GACGAACCGUGCGAACGUUGUUCGGAUUCACUGGGCUUAAAGGGCGCGUAGGCGGGCGUUCAAGUCUGGGGUGAAAUCCUCCGGCUCAACCGGAGAACAGCCCCCGAUACUGGACGCCUCGAGGGAGGUAGGGGUCGAGGGAACUUCCGGUGGAGCGGUGAAAUGCGUAGAUAUCGGAAGGAACGCCGGUGGCGAAAGCGCUCGACUGGACCUCUUCUGACGCUGAGGCGCGAAAGCCAGGGGAGCGAACGGG
This 253-nucleotide ribosomal RNA is filed under the name uncultured bacterium. Its description in RNAcentral is "partial 16S ribosomal RNA". It matches the Rfam family "Bacterial small subunit ribosomal RNA", at positions 524 to 776 of the family's 1533-position model. The record is from RNAcentral.